RNAcentral lists this ribosomal RNA (468 nucleotides) under uncultured bacterium. Its description in RNAcentral is "partial 16S ribosomal RNA". It matches the Rfam family "Bacterial small subunit ribosomal RNA", at positions 28 to 507 of the family's 1533-position model. The record is from RNAcentral.
GACGAACGCUGGCGGCGUGCUUAACACAUGCAAGUCGAACGGAAAGGCCCUGCUUUUGUGGGGUGCUCGAGUGGCGAACGGGUGAGUAACACGUGAGUAACCUGCCCUUGACUUUGGGAUAACUUCAGGAAACUGGGGCUAAUACCGGAUAGGAGCUCCUGCUGCAUGGUGGGGGUUGGAAAGUUUCGGCGGUUGGGGAUGGACGCGCGGCUUAUCAGCUUGUUGGUGGGGUAGUGGCUUACCAAGGCUUUGACGGGUAGCCGGCCUGGGAGGGUGACCGGCCACAUUGGGACUGAGAUACGGCCCAGACUCGUACGGGAGGCAGCAGUGGGGAGUAUUGCACAGUGGGCGGAAGCCUGAUGCAGCAGCGCCGGGUGCGGGAUGACGGCCUUCGGGUUGUAAACCGCUUUCGCCUGUGACGAAGCGUGAGUGACGGUAAUGGGUAAAGAAGCACCGGCUAACUACGUG